Molecule: ribosomal RNA, 465 nt
Filed under: Vreelandella stevensii
Lineage: Bacteria; Pseudomonadati; Pseudomonadota; Gammaproteobacteria; Oceanospirillales; Halomonadaceae
Description: partial 16S ribosomal RNA
Rfam family: Bacterial small subunit ribosomal RNA
Source: RNAcentral
CCUACGGGAGGCAGCAGUGGGGAAUAUUGGACAAUGGGGGCAACCCUGAUCCAGCCAUGCCGCGUGUGUGAAGAAGGCCCUCGGGUUGUAAAGCACUUUCAGUGAGGAAGAACGCCUGGUGGUUAAUACCCAUCAGGAAAGACAUCACUCACAGAAGAAGCACCGGCUAACUCCGUGCCAGCAGCCGCGGUAAUACGGAGGGUGCGAGCGUUAAUCGGAAUUACUGGGCGUAAAGCGCGCGUAGGUGGGUUGAUAAGCCGGUUGUGAAAGCCCCGGGCUCAACCUGGGAACGGCAUCCGGAACUGUCAAGCUAGAGUGCAGGAGAGGAAGGUAGAAUUCCCGGUGUAGCGGUGAAAUGCGUAGAGAUCGGGAGGAAUACCAGUGGCGAAGGCGGCCCUCUGGACUGACACUGACACUGAGGUGCGAAAGCGUGGGUAGCAAACAGGAUUAGAUACCCCGGUAGUC